This 460-nucleotide ribosomal RNA is filed under the name uncultured bacterium. Its description in RNAcentral is "partial 16S ribosomal RNA". It matches the Rfam family "Bacterial small subunit ribosomal RNA", at positions 338 to 795 of the family's 1533-position model. The record is from RNAcentral.
CCUACGGGAGGCAGCAGUGAGGAAUAUUGGUCAAUGGGCGAGAGCCUGAACCAGCCAAGUCGCGUGAAGGAUGACGGCCCUACGGGUCGUAGACUUCUUUUGCCAGGGAGCAAAUGGGUCGACGUGUGGUCUUAGCGAGAGACCCUGAAGAAAAAGCACCGGCGAACUCCGUCCCAGCAGCGGCGGUAAUACGAGGGAUGCGAGCGUUACCCGGAUUAAUUGGGUUUAAGGGGUGCGUAGGCGGAAUAUAAAGUCGGCGGUAAAAAGUCGGGGCUAAACCCCGUCGGGCCGUUGAAACUGGUGGUCUUGAGUGGGCCAGAGGUAUGCGGAAUGCGUGGUGUAGCGGUGAAAUGCAUAGAUAUCACGCAGAACCCCGAUUGUGAAGGCAGCGUGCCGGGGCCCCACUGACGCUGAGGCACGAAAGCGCGGGGAUCGAACAGGAUUAGAUACCCUGGUAGUC